CAAAGGUGCCUGCUCUGCAGGAGAAUAGGGAAGCCGAGUGAAAUUCUCGCACGGUCACGCCGCUGUAAUGGACGAAUUGUAUUUCAGUAUGUCACUGGGAUCCUGAUCCCGGGAAGGCGAAGUACAGUGUAAAAGCCUGAGUCAGAAGACCUGCCUUGUACA
Molecule: non-coding RNA, 162 nt
Filed under: Candidatus Ruminococcus avistercoris
Lineage: Bacteria; Bacillati; Bacillota; Clostridia; Eubacteriales; Oscillospiraceae
Source: RNAcentral